GGAAUAUUGGACAAUGGAGGCAACUCUGAUCCAGCCAUGCCGCGUGCAGGAAGACGGCCCUAUGGGUUGUAAACUGCUUUUAUACGGGAAGAACCACUCCGACGUGUCGGAGCUUGCCGGUACCGUAUGACUAAGGACCGGCUAACUCCGUGCCAGCAGCCGCGGUAAUACGGAGGGCCCAAGCGUUAUCCGGAAUCAUUGGGUUUAAAGGGUCCGUAGGCGGAAUAAUAAGUCAGUGGUGAAAGUCCGCAGCUCAACUGUAGAAUUGCCAUUGAUACUGUUAUUCUUGAAUUAUUAUGAAGUGGUUGGAAUGAGUAGUGUAGCGGUGAAAUGCAUAGAUAUUACUCAGAACACCUAUUGCGAAGGCAGAUCACUAAUAAUAUAUUGACGCUGAGGGACGAAAGCGUAGGUAGCGAACAGG
Molecule: ribosomal RNA, 421 nt
Filed under: uncultured bacterium
Lineage: Bacteria
Description: bacterial SSU rRNA
Rfam family: Bacterial small subunit ribosomal RNA
Source: RNAcentral